GAUGAAGAACGUAGCGAAAUGCGAUAAGUAAUGUGAAUUGCAGAAUUCAGUGAAUCAUCGAAUCUUUGAACGCACAUUGCGCCCGCCAGUAUUCUGGCGGGCAUGCCUGUUCGAGCGUCAUUUCAACCAUCAAGUCCCAGGCUUGUGUUGGGGACCUGCGGCUGCCGCAGGCCCUGAAAACCAGUGGCGGGCUCGCUGUCACACCGGGCGUAGUAGAUUUUAUCUCGCUCAGGGCGUGCUGCGGGUUCCGGCCGUUAAAAAGCCUUUUUUACCCAAGGUUGACCUCGGAUCAGGUAGGAAGACCCGCUGAACUUAAGCAUAUCAAUAAGCGGAGGA
This 336-nucleotide unclassified non-coding RNA is filed under the name soil metagenome. RNAcentral's name for it is "partial contains 5.8S ribosomal RNA, internal transcribed spacer 2, and large subunit ribosomal RNA". The stretch from base 1 to 120 matches the Rfam family "5.8S ribosomal RNA", at positions 35 to 154 of the family's 154-position model. The record is from RNAcentral.